CGUAGCGGCGGGCGGGUGAGUAACGCGUGGGUAACCGUGCCUCAUACAGGGGGAUAACAGUUGGAAACGGCUGCUAAUACCGCAUAAGCGCACAGUACCGCAUGGUACGGUGUGAAAAACUCCGGUGGUAUGAGAUGGACCCGCGUCUGAUUAGGUAGUUGGUGGGGUAACGGCCUACCAAGCCGACGAUCAGUAGCCGACCUGAGAGGGUGACCGGCCACAUUGGGACUGAGACACGGCCCAA
This 244-nucleotide ribosomal RNA is filed under the name uncultured bacterium. Its description in RNAcentral is "partial 16S ribosomal RNA". It matches the Rfam family "Bacterial small subunit ribosomal RNA", at positions 91 to 334 of the family's 1533-position model. The record is from RNAcentral.